UUAAAUAUCACUGUCUCUCUCUUCCUUUUAAAUCUUCACCCUGUGCCUUCUUCCUCAUUUGUUUCCACCACCAUGUUCAUCUUCGAUGAGAGAGAAAGGGAACCUGCCAACAACCUGAAACAAAUCCGAUCUACCUCAAAUGCCCCCUCCUUCCGGUGAAUACCUGCCAACAACCUGAAACAAAUCCGACCACCACCAACUCUUGGUGGCAGCGGAGAACAGCAGCAGCAACACCGCCACCACGGUGGCGGCGGCGGCGAACAGAGAGACGAAGAAGAGAGAGAGAGAGGGAGCAGGAGCGAGAAAUGAGAGAGGGAGGGAGGGAGAGAGAGAGGAGUCAGAGAAGAGAAGACGAUGGACGGCGGUAGCGCCGCCGCUCACGGCGGCGGCAGUAGAGACACAGGUGGCGGCGAUCCAGGUUGUUCCAACUAGUGUCAAGGAUGAUGAUGCUGUUUUUUUUAUAUUUGAUUGAUGAUGAUUGAGUCGGUGGUGGCCGACGAUGGCAGCCGGCGAGGUAGCUACAUGGCAGUGACGGUGGAUGAUAGGUGAAUUUAUGUGUCGUUAAUUGAUUGGUGAAUUUAUGUGUCGUUAUUGUGGGGGGGGGGGAAUGUUGAACGUGUGGAAUGUUUUGUAGAGAUUUUGAUGUAUACGUCGAUGUUAGAUUUAUUUAAAGAAUCGGAUUUUGUGUAGACAUUUGGGCGAGAAUUAAACAAAAAAUAACCGUUUUAUUUGCUAAAAUCUGAAAUUACCAUCUGAGAUAAAACUUUGCACA
Long non-coding RNA from Helianthus annuus (common sunflower), 772 nucleotides. RefSeq lists it as uncharacterized. The transcript has 2 exons. The record is from RefSeq and is a predicted model, not a curated record. NCBI's taxonomy places the organism in Eukaryota, Viridiplantae, Streptophyta, Magnoliopsida, Asterales, Asteraceae.